CAACAACACUGAAUCCAGACAACACAACAAGAUCUCUGAAUCAAGUGAUUGUGAUUGUUGUCGUCGCUUCAUUCACUGUUCUCCUUCCUGCUCUGAUUCUUUGGCUGAUUCUGAAAAAAAGAGCCGGUGUCAGAAGAGCGACUGAUGACUCUGUGG
Long non-coding RNA from Labeo rohita (rohu), 156 nucleotides. RefSeq lists it as uncharacterized. Lineage: Eukaryota; Metazoa; Chordata; Actinopteri; Cypriniformes; Cyprinidae. The record is from RefSeq and is a predicted model, not a curated record. The transcript is spliced from 3 exons.